Long non-coding RNA from Lates calcarifer (barramundi perch), 1014 nucleotides. RefSeq lists it as uncharacterized. The transcript has 3 exons. The record is from RefSeq and is a predicted model, not a curated record. NCBI's taxonomy places the organism in Eukaryota, Metazoa, Chordata, Actinopteri, Centropomidae.
UAGGUAACAUUGUUGUUGAACUAAUUUAACUGUCCAAAACUAACUAAUGUAACUGUUAGGAAACCUAAUUUUACUGUUUAACUGGUAAUCAGGACUGUUAAGAGUAUUGGAUAAUGUUAUAGGUCAUAUAAUCUUUCAGGUAACUAUAUGUCAGUGAGUUAUGCUUCCCUUGUGUUUUGGCCUGUGUAUUUAUCAGGGUGGGUUUUGGGUCUGGGUUGGUAAAUACACAGGCCAAAACUUUCAGUAGCUGUAUAGAACUGCUGUAAAGCAGAGCAGUUGUACAACCAUACAACUGCUUAAAAACACAGCAGUUCUAUACAGCUACUGAAACAUAUACAUGUGUGUAUAUAUACAGCAUUACAGUGUAUAUAUACACGUACAUCUUUCUGUGUACAAAGCUGUACUGCUACAGUGCAGUGCUGGACCACACAGAGACAUGUUCUACUUCCUGCCAGUCCCAGUCAUUCUUCAAAGCAGACGAUGAGAUAACUCCUGCCAACCUUUGCCUCACCUUCUCUGUGACUCUCGGACACUGGAUCAGCUGACUACAGCAAAGACAUCAUCCUGCCACAGACCAGUCAUCACAGCACCAUCCUGACUGUUGAUCAACAGCAGAGUCAUCAGUGCUGGACCACACAGAGACCCUGUUCCUCCUCAGUGCUCAGGCUUCUUCACAACAGAGCAGAAGGUCUUCCUUCACUGUGAUUCUCCACUUCACAGUAGAGACCACUGCACAGCUCCACAAGCUAGUGAACUAUGUGAGAUGGCACUGUGUGCUUCCUCUCUGCAACAUCAAGCUCAUCCUCCAACACGUGUUAAAGGUCUCUGCACCUCUGUGUCCUCCAUUUUCAUUGACACUGACCAGAUGACUGAAAGCAGAAGCUCUACAGCCACUGGAAAGGUCAAAGGUCAGUCCAUCUUCAUGCUGACACUGUGCUCUGUUGACAGUUUUGGUUUGUGCCAACAACUGACUGAAGAGCAUCAUGACAGAACAAACUAUGAACCCUGGACAGA